UACGGAGGGGGCGAGCGUUGUCCGAAGUUACUGGGCGUAAAGGGCGCGUAGGCGGGGUGUCACGUCCGCUGUGAAAGCCUGGAGCUUAACUCCAGCGGGUCGGUGGAUACGGACACUCUUGAAGGCAUUAGGGGAAGAUGGAAUUACCCAUGGAGCGGUGAAAUGCGUAGAGAUGGGGAGGAACACCGGUGGCGAAGGCGGUCUUCUGGGAUGUCCUUGACGCUGAGGCGCGAAAGCUGGGGGAGCGAACGGG
Molecule: ribosomal RNA, 253 nt
Filed under: uncultured bacterium
Lineage: Bacteria
Description: partial 16S ribosomal RNA
Rfam family: Bacterial small subunit ribosomal RNA
Source: RNAcentral